This 763-nucleotide ribosomal RNA is filed under the name uncultured Streptococcus sp. RNAcentral's name for it is "bacterial SSU rRNA". It matches the Rfam family "Bacterial small subunit ribosomal RNA", at positions 28 to 776 of the family's 1533-position model. The record is from RNAcentral. Lineage: Bacteria; Bacillati; Bacillota; Bacilli; Lactobacillales; Streptococcaceae.
GACGAACGCUGGCGGCGUGCCUAAUACAUGCAAGUAGAACGCUGAAGGGAGAGCUUGCUCUUCUGGAUGAGUUGCGAACGGGUGAGUAACGCGUAGGUAACCUUCCUGGUAGCGGGGGAUAACUAUUGGAAACGAUAGCUAAUACCGCAUAAGAGUAGAUGUUGCAUGACAUUUGCUUAAAAGGUGCAAUUGCAUCACUACCAGAUGGACCUGCGUUGUAUUAGCUAGUUGGUGGGGUAACGGCUCACCAAGGCGACGAUACAUAGCCGACCUGAGAGGGUGAUCGGCCACACUGGGACUGAGACACGGCCCAGACUCCUACGGGAGGCAGCAGUAGGGAAUCUUCGGCAAUGGACGGAAGUCUGACCGAGCAACGCCGCGUGAGUGAAGAAGGUUUUCGGAUCGUAAAGCUCUGUUGUAAGAGAAGAACGAGUGUGAGAGUGGAAAGUUCACACUGUGACGGUAUCUUACCAGAAAGGGACGGCUAACUACGUGCCAGCAGCCGCGGUAAUACGUAGGUCCCGAGCGUUGUCCGGAUUUAUUGGGCGUAAAGCGAGCGCAGGCGGUUAGAUAAGUCUGAAGUUAAAGGCUGUGGCUUAACCAUAGUACGCUUUGGAAACUGUUUAACUUGAGUGCAAGAGGGGAGAGUGGAAUUCCAUGUGUAGCGGUGAAAUGCGUAGAUAUAUGGAGGAACACCGGUGGCGAAAGCGGCUCUCUGGCUUGUAACUGACGCUGAGGCUCGAAAGCGUGGGGAGCAAACAGG